CUCUCCCUCACCUGCACUGUCUCUGGAUUCCCCAUCAUAACCAGUGUGUCCUGCUAGAAUUGUAUCUGCUUGCCCCUAGAAGAUGGACAGGAGUGGAUCAGGUGCAUGGGUUGUGAAGGGAGCACAAAUUACAACCCACUGCUCAAGAGUCCAUAUCCAGAUCCAAGAAACAGUUCUUACAGCUGAGCUCUGUGCCCAGUGAACACACAACUACGCAUUUUUAAGCAAAAGACGCAAUGAAG
RNAcentral lists this long non-coding RNA (242 nucleotides) under Homo sapiens (human). RNAcentral describes it as "long non-coding RNA NONHSAT040488". Lineage: Eukaryota; Metazoa; Chordata; Mammalia; Primates; Hominidae. The record is from RNAcentral.